This is a long non-coding RNA of Oreochromis aureus, 382 nucleotides long. The record is from Ensembl. Lineage: Eukaryota; Metazoa; Chordata; Actinopteri; Cichliformes; Cichlidae.
GUCUGCUUCACCUCUUGUUAGUCACCCUCUACAAAGUGAAAAUGGGAAAAAUUAAUCCACCACUAAAGCGUGUUUUUAUUGGCUUCAACUCAUUUUUUGCGAUCCUGGGAUGUACACUUAUUCCCUUGGUAGUAAAGCGCACUGCCAACAGCACACAGAGGCUGGCGUGCUGCAUGGUCCUGCGUGCCGGCCGCCUGCCCAACUCCCUGUGAGCCCCGGCUCACUUCCACACCGCUGCUUGCCACAUGGGUGGCCCCCGGACCAGCUCCGGGGCUGGUGCUGGAGGCGCGGGCGACCGCCAGAGAGUACACUUCCCUGUCGCUGGGCCGGAGCAUCGGGUGCCGAUGGUCCAGGCUGUUUCCCUCGCCUGCUUGCAGAGUGG